CUUGUAAACAUUCUAUAAAAGUACAAGGGAAACUUCAUAAAGAAUAUCCAAGUGUCCUUUUAAUAUAAUAGCCCUUUGUACUUUGAAAUGUUCAUAUGUGUACAAAAUAGAAUUAAGCAGAACAGACUGGAAGAACAGUCUUCGAGUCUUCUAGUAAUGGUGCCAUUAAAACAUUAUUUUGCAGUUUCUUAAGACUCAGAAGAUUAAGGUUUCUCACCCCGAGAUCAGUUCCACUUACAAAAAGCACUCUGGACCCAUAUUUAACCAACCGUCAGAAGGGAUUCAAAAGCAGGCUAAUUGAACACGCUGGUUUUGGAAACUCUGUAAUGAUGACCCGGGUUUUUUUUCUUGAAAACACCAACAAGGGCAGCUUGGCAGGAGGCAGGAAUUAGACAGGAGAAUUGAUUUGAGACCUGCCCUCCACACUGGAAGGAAAACUCCCCCGUAAGAAACGGUGAGGUUUGAAAUCACUGCAGGAUCUAUCAUUCACAUGGCCUCCAGCCUUAACGCAGGGCAUUUUCUCGCCACCGUAAUUCCCCAGGAACUGCCCUUCUCACAUGAGACAGAUCCACCUCUUGGAGGAAAGGAAACCCGCUCUAUCUGUUCAACCCGUCCUCUCCCUUCUGUGUCUGAGCCAUCGCCGGGUUCUCUCUGUGUUUUGCAAUCCCCUCCAUGGCUCCAAAGGCCAACAAAGUCUGUCUCCAGUGAGGGUACUGAGCCAAAAGCCCACACCACCUGACCGUAUUUUUCUCUUUCUUAGCCUUUUACCCGCUGACUUCACAUUUCUCGGGAGCAGGCCAGCUCGGGCAGACCUCCCCCGAAUAUAAAGUUCUGCAGGGGCAAGCUGGAGAACCACACAGGGGAGAUUUCACGAGGAGCCCCGUCUGACGUUUUCUGCCUGAAUCCUUGGGCCUCGCUCCAGCCUACAAAGGCAAGUGGCAGGAAACUAACAGCCAUAAUCAAAUGAGCUCAGCCAGCCGGGAGUCUCUUUUGCAAGGGGAUCACAGGCAUUCUGCCCGGCAGAACCUAGAGAGAGAGAGAGAACCUCUGUCCUGAAAUCUCUGAAGUUUCCUGCCAGCAUGCAUUUUCCCUUGGGCAACAUCAGAUGAGAACAUCAUUUCAUUUGCAUCGCAGGGGAGACGGAGAGACAAACAGAAAGCAGAGAGACAAACAGAAAAUCAGAGGCAGCAUUCUGCUUGGACACCUCCAAGAAUUCAACUGCCUUCAACAAAUUCUAUCAAAUCCCUACUGUGUGCCAGGCACUAGGAUACGAGGAGGACUUGUCAGCAAUGCUGGAUUGCCCAGUGUGCAGACGAGACCCUCACUUAAAAGUCCAGAAAGCAUGGCUGAGAGAGAGCAGAAUGUUCUGGGCACAAAGAACAGCAGGGAGGUUGUCCUGAGGCAACACCCAGUUUGGUGCAUCUGAGGGACUGAAAAGUGCCCACUGCUUCAGUGAAGCUGAAAGGGUCGUGAGAUCGUGGGGAUUAUUAUUCAGAAAAUGAGCCUCCCCGACUCCUGCUUUGGGUGGAAUACACUUCCCUGCACCAUGGACGUUGGACUCGGCUGUGUGACUUUGUUGGCUAAUAGGCCGUUAGCCAGCGUGAGUCCGGCAGGCCUUGAGGUGUGUUUGCAUGGCAGCUCGUGCUCAUUCGCAUUUCCGACAUCGCCACGAGGGGUGUAUAUGCCCGUGUAUCCAAGGAGGAUGCACACGCCCGGAGCAGACUGCAUGUGCCCCACUACUGCGAGCCCAGCCUAGAGCAGUCUCAAUCAUCUGAACGCCUACCAACUUGCAGAUGUUUGUGUGAGAUUAAAUAAUCACUGUUUUAAGCCAAUGAGCUGGGGGAUGAUUUGUUACAUGGCAUCAUUAUGGCAAUAGUUGACUGAUGUAGGCCUUCUAGGUGUUAAUCCGGCCACGGCCAGACCAGUACAGUUACUAAAUUGCAGGGGGCGGGGGCGGGGGAAGCAUAUGUAAUUUUAAAAGAUCCUUCAAAAACUUGUCUUCCUGCUUUGACUUUGUUAUGUAAAUCAAAGUCAAUUAUAGCCUUUCAGGCACUAAAUGAAAUUUGAUGGCCAUAAGGCUUCAAUGAAGCGGCAUAUGGUUAAAGAAUAAAAGAGGUCUAAGGUACUCAUGUAUUUAUCCAGCACUAGAUAAAGCCUUCAUCCACAAAGGCUUUAUCCAGAAAAAUGGUUCGCUCAUUAAAGAGACGUUCGUGGGUUCUUUUGUACGACGCCUUGUAGUUACAGUGUUGAGUCAAGUGCUUACCCUAGGCCAAGCACGGUUCCUAGUGCUUUGCCUACAUCAGCUUCUUUGACCCUCAAAAUUUGAUGUUGUAGUCACUGUUGAUUAUCUCCAACUGACAGAUAAGAAAAGUGAGGAACCAAGAGAAUAACGACUUAUCCAAGCUCCAUGACUUGGGAUUUAAUAAGAAGACAAACCAAUCUUUACAAACCACGGCAGGACCGGGAUGGAAAAAAACAAAAACAACAACAAAAAACACACACACACAAAACGGGGAAGUCUGGUUAAGACCAACAGAGAGGACCUGUUUUAGACAGGAGACCAGAGAGGGCUUCUCCAGUUAGGUGAAGUUGUCUGAGAGAUGAAAAUGAUCACACACCAAAAAAUGGCUGGGAGAAAGAAGAAUGUUCUGGGGACAAACAACAGCAGGGAGGUUGUCCUGAGGCAGCACCCAGUUUGGUGCGUCUGAGGGACUGAAAAGUGCCCGCUGCUUCAGUGAAGCUGAAAGGAGAGAGACAGAGCACGAAUGGGGGAAGGUCAGAGAGAGAGGGAGACACAGAAUCUGAAACAGGCUCCAGGCUCUGAGCUGUCAGCACAGAGCCCGACGCGGGGCUCGAACUCACGGACCGCGAGAUCGUGACCUGAGCCGAAGUCGGACGCCCAACUGACUGAGCACCCAGGCGCCCCUGUAUUCUUUUUAUCAAGGAAAGCUUCCAAACUUCCAGGCUGGCAAAGCUGGAAGCAGCCCUGAUUAAACACCUACCGUGUGAGCCAAGCACAGCUCGAUGCUAGAACAGACGAUGUGUCCGCAGAUUCACUGACGCGCUCCUGCUCCAAAAGGCACAAGGCAUUUGCUUUCCCUUGGAAUGUAGGCUGGACCUGAUAAUUUGUUUCUGGCGAGAGGCAUAUUGUGCAGGUGGUGACGCUGGGUGACACUGAAGACCGGUGGGGAAAUACUGCCAUUUCCCCCGCGCUCCUUCCUUCUGGAAGCCAGUGGCCAUGUCAUCAGAACACUCCAGCAGCACACGGAAAGGAGCAGAGCCUUCCAGCCAACCGCCAUGCGAGGGUGCGAUCUUCGAAAGAGACCCUCCAACUUUACCCAGUCGAGCCUUCGGGACGCUGGCAGCUUCGGCCAACGUCUUGACCGCUUGUGAGAGGCCGUGGGCGAGACCCAUCCAUUCAAACUGCUCUCGGGGAUUCCCGGCCCCAGAAACCGCGUGCGAUGAGAGAUGCUUGUGAUGUGAAGUUGCCACAGUUGGGGGGCAACCCGUUACCCAGCGAGCAAUAAAGAAUAUGCUGACACAAGUCUUGGCUUUAGGACUCUCACCUUCUGAUGUUUAAUAGGCGUGGAAUAAAUGUGUUUUUGAGAAAGAGAUGAAGAACAAGAAGCCAAAGAAAUGUAGCAAAUUAUCAUUAACUGUUCAUUCGCUUAUCAGAUAUUUACUGAGCAGUGCCAUAUGUUUAUCUAUGUUCCAGGCAUCAAGCUAGAAUAAUAAGCGGGAAAGACAUAACAGCGCCCCCCGUCAUGGAGCUUCCAGUCUGGAAGAAGAAGAAAGUUUCUGUCCUGUGUCUGAUGCCUACUCACCGCAGGACCCUGAAGUCAAGUUUCCCUUCCCAGAUAAUAUGCAUUAUCUCAUCGAAUCCUCAUGAUAGCCCCCUUCCUCUCACCCACACCCACCCUGCAGCCCUCCCCAGGCUCUCCUGCAACUUGGCAACGUGACACAAUUCAGACCAGCGACCCACAGGCAGGAGAUCGCUGGGCAGAUCCGCUGUCUUCGGAAGGACGCGCUCUCUGGAGAGGGCUGCGAGUUAUCCAUCCUGCGAAUGUCAGGAAGGGCCAAGGGAGCAGCUGAGCUCUGACAUUCUUACGCCAUCGAAACAGAAUAGUAACU
Long non-coding RNA from Neofelis nebulosa (Clouded leopard), 4131 nucleotides. RefSeq lists it as uncharacterized. The record is from RefSeq and is a predicted model, not a curated record. NCBI's taxonomy places the organism in Eukaryota, Metazoa, Chordata, Mammalia, Carnivora, Felidae. The transcript is spliced from 6 exons.